AAAAGACAAAAAAUAGAGAGAUACGAAGAGAAGGGAGAAUGAGGCCGCGUUGGAAGGGCGGGAUACCUGAGGACGAACGUAUGGCCGCCGAGGUGCUUAUGGAUCCUUCAUUUUGGCAGAUGCUGUUCAUCGACUGCCCGGGCGUGCCCAAGUCGGCGUCCAGGCUGGUGAUGGGCCACUCCCUGCUGCUGCUCCUGCUCUUCGCCAGCUUCUACAGCAAGGCCUACAGAGGCAAGGGGAGCAAGGAGAUUGCAUAGUUUUUCUUGAGAAGGAAAUGCGCGUUCCAGGGUCCAGGGUCCCUAAACAUCAUUUCUUAAAAUGACAAGAAUUCCUGGCUUUUUAUUUGUAUUUUCAUGGAUUAAAUUUUCCCUAAAACUUAGUAUUCUUUAUGUUUUUCCGUCGAGAUUUCAGCUCAUAGAUUUCAACAAUGGUGAAGUAAGCACGACCAAUUUUGUAAUAAAUCCUUCAUUACCAAAUGGAUGGGUGGAUCUACAUCUGAAGUUCGAGAAGAUGCUAGAAGUGUGGAUUGCUGGAUUUCCAUGCCCACUGGUUAGGGUACCAAACGUUUUUUUAUGUCGAGAACGUGAAAGCCAAAGGGAGCAACACGACUGUUAAUUGCCAUGUCGGCAAGUUCUUUAGUUUUACGGAUCAUUGUAACACACGCGCGCACGCACACACACACACA
Long non-coding RNA from Penaeus monodon (black tiger shrimp), 685 nucleotides. RefSeq lists it as uncharacterized. The record is from RefSeq and is a predicted model, not a curated record. The transcript has 2 exons. Lineage: Eukaryota; Metazoa; Arthropoda; Malacostraca; Decapoda; Penaeidae.